UAUUCCUUAUUCUUCUCACACCAGACAGUCUAAGUUGUCCUAAUUGCUUAUCCAAAUAAGAUUUGGUGUCCAUCCGUCUGUCUUGAUCUUCUCUUCUGCAGUUCUCUGUUGCAUCGACCCCCUUACUACGUCUAGCUUCUAUUACACGGGACGGGUUUAGGUCUAACGGCACUCUCCAAACCCAAAAGUUUUGAAACAUGCAAUGCAAACAUGAUGCAACGAUUCCUACGUACUUUCAGACUCAUAUACACACUCGUAGAAAAAUUGGUGGCAUCGUAAUCUCUCC
This 286-nucleotide long non-coding RNA is filed under the name Setaria italica (foxtail millet). RNAcentral's name for it is "long non-coding RNA (SITA_LNC004439)". The record is from RNAcentral. Lineage: Eukaryota; Viridiplantae; Streptophyta; Magnoliopsida; Poales; Poaceae.